This 458-nucleotide ribosomal RNA is filed under the name uncultured Acholeplasma sp. RNAcentral describes it as "bacterial SSU rRNA". It matches the Rfam family "Bacterial small subunit ribosomal RNA", at positions 918 to 1382 of the family's 1533-position model. Lineage: Bacteria; Bacillati; Mycoplasmatota; Mollicutes; Acholeplasmatales; Acholeplasmataceae. The record is from RNAcentral.
ACCCCGCACAAGCGGUGGAUCAUGUUGUUUAAUUCGAUGAUACGCGAAGAACCUUACCAGGUCUUGACAUCCCCUGCAAAGCUAUGGAGACAUAGUGGAGGUUAUCAGGGAGACAGGUGGUGCAUGGUUGUCGUCAGCUCGUGUCGUGAGAUGUUGGGUUAAGUCCCGCAACGAGCGCAACCCUUAUUGCUAGUUACCAUCAUUCAGUUGGGGACUCUAGCGAGACUGCCAGUGAUAAACUGGAGGAAGUGGGGAUGACGUCAAAUCAUCAUGCCCCUUAUGACCUGGGCUACAAACGUGAUACAAUGGCUGAAACAAAGGGCAGCGAAGCAGUGAUGUGGAGCGAAACCCAAAAAAGCAGUCUCAGUUCGGAUUGAAGUCUGCAACUCGACUUCAUGAAGUCGGAAUCGCUAGUAAUCGCGGAUCAGAACGCCGCGGUGAAUACGUUCUCGGGGUUU